This 302-nucleotide long non-coding RNA is filed under the name Gossypium barbadense (sea-island cotton). RNAcentral describes it as "long non-coding RNA (GBAR_LNC001349)". The record is from RNAcentral. Lineage: Eukaryota; Viridiplantae; Streptophyta; Magnoliopsida; Malvales; Malvaceae.
AGGGGAUGGGCUUUGGGGGUCAAUUGCUGGGCCCAGAUUAAAGGCUGUGAAUGUCCUUUCCCGAAGAAACACCUUUUUCUCCCUCUGACUCCUUUUUGGCAGUGAGCUAAAAGUCUACUCUUUUUGUUCUUUUCUCCGAUCGGGACCGUCCACAAAAUAGGGGACCAUUGUUGAUUGCCUCUGCACUAACUUCUCCUUUUGCUUCCUUCCCUAUCCCUUAUGCAAUUGUUCAUGGACCAACCCAAGUAUUCUGCAACUUCUUCUAACCAUCCAAGUGCUUUGACAUCCAAAGUAGAAUUUCU